UUUCCAGACUCCUACGGGAGGCAGCAGUGGGGAAUAUUGCACAAUGGGGGAAACCCUGAUGCAGCGACGCCGCGUGAGUGAAGAAGUAUUUCGGUAUGUAAAGCUCUAUCAGCAGGGAAGAAAAUGACGGUACCUGACCAAGAAGCCCCGGCUAACUACGUGCCAGCAGCCGCGGUAAUACGUAGGGGGCAAGCGUUAUCCGGAUUUACUGGGUGUAAAGGGAGCGUAGACGGUUGUGCAAGUCAGAAGUGAAAGCCCGGGGCCCAACCCCGGGACUGCUCUUGGAACUGCAUGGCUGGAGUACAGGAGGGGCAGGCGGAAUUCCUAGUGUAGCGGUGAAAUGCGUAGAUAUUAGGAGGAACACCGGUGGCGAAGGCGGCCAACUGGGCUUUAACUGACGCUGAGGCUCGAAAGUGUGGGGAGCAAACAGGAUUAGAUACCCUAGUA
RNAcentral lists this ribosomal RNA (447 nucleotides) under uncultured bacterium. RNAcentral's name for it is "bacterial SSU rRNA". It matches the Rfam family "Bacterial small subunit ribosomal RNA", at positions 328 to 792 of the family's 1533-position model. The record is from RNAcentral.